AUUUUCAGACUGAAAGAACAAGACUGAAGUGGGACAGACCUGAAUCCUCUAAAUUCCCAAUCUGAGAUAUCUUUACAUGGUUUAAGAUUUAGGGUUUACAUAUUGAGCGACUUUUGAUCUUUGACAUGGUGAUGGAUAUGGGCGUGGUGUCACUGUCCUCGCUGCCGUUGGGGUUUAGAUUCAGGCCGACGGAUGAGGAGCUUAUAGAGUUUUAUUUGAGGUCCAAGAUCAAUGGCCGUGAUAAGGAAGUCAGCGUUAUUCGGGAGAUUGAUGUUUGCAGAUGGGAGCCCUGGGAUUUGCCUGAUUUAUCAGUGAUACAGACGCAGGAUCCGGAAUGGUUCUUCUUCUGUCCACAGGACAAGAAGUACCCAAAUGGGUUCAGGUUGAACAGGGCUACAAUAGCAGGGUACUGGAAGGCUACUGGUAAAGAUCGUAGAAUCAAGUCCGGAGCAAACUUGGUUGGAAUGAAGAAGACCCUCGUCUUCCAUAAGGGGCGUGCUCCCAAGGGUAAGAGGACCAAUUGGGUUAUGCAUGAGUACCGUGCUACGCAGAAGGAGCUUGAUGGCACUAAUCCUGGCCAGAGUCCGUUUGUCCUCUGUCGCCUGUUUAAAAAACAAGAUGAGAGUAUCGAAAUUUCAAACUGUGAUGAAACUGAACCAGCUGUAUCCUCCCCUAGCAUUGUCAAAUCUCCUCUUGAAGACACACAGUCUGCUCAAACACUGGUUCCACCAUCACCAUCAUGUCAAAUGCAACCUAAAAAGCUUCAUACUGGAGCAGAAUGCAUCAAUGCUGAUAAUUAUGAUGGGAUGACAUCAGACCCUUUACCAAUUAGUGAGUGCCCUAGCAACAGCUGCAAUGAUUAUGAUGGACCAGAUCAACUGGAUCUGCCGCUUGAGGAAUAUUUAAGCAGAUUUUAUGACCCCCAGGAAGAGCCACCAUUUUCCCCAUUGCACUCACAAUUGGAAGUUGAGCAUUGUUACCCUGGUAGCAAUGGCUUUAACAAUGGUCAUAAAGGGGUGCAAUUACCAAAUGACAGCAUUGAGCAAGAUGCAGAAGUUUCUGAGUUCCUGAGCACAAUAUUCAACUGUUCGGAGGAGUACUCCUUUGAAGAUUUGGAUACUCUAAGUUCCGCAAUUGAAAGUGAGACCAAGAAUGUUGUCCCCUUUAAGGACUAUGGAUCAUGCAAUGCUGCAGACCCAAAUCUGAAUGAUGUACUGUUUAUGGCCGAGCUUCAAACUCCUGUUUCAUUGGAGGGGAAUGUCGACAGAAAGGGUCCCAUCACUCCCAUGCAGAUUGCAACAACUCCGCAGAAUUAUGAACAAUCCUCAAAGGUUGAGGUAUCAAGCAAUCAUUCAAAUUCACUUCCAAGUGCUGGCACUGGGAUUAGGAUUAUGACUCGCCAAACACCUUCAACUAGCACCUUAAGACCGAGUAUUAUGACACAGGGUGAAGCACCAAGACGAAUAAUGUAUCAAAGUAAACUUCAAAUAGGGUCAAUUCAAUGCAGGAAUGUUUCUAAAAACCUGCAUUAUAGACCAGAAGACCAUGAAAGGAAACUAAUCGCUGUGGAGGAGACACGAGAUUCAGAAAAGAAAGCUAGUAGUGAUGCUGCUUUCCAUGCUGGUAAUGCUUUGGAUGAACCCCCGGAGACACUCAUUGUUGAGUCCAGUGACCAGACUAUUUCCGCAACACCAAAUAUCACAUCACUAGGCAGCAUUUUGACAGGCAAAGCGAUCCCUUCUGUGGUCUUGAAGGCUUCUCCUGCUGGCCAUUCUAUUUGGUCAUUUGCGUUUAUGAUUAGACUAGUUGUGGGUGCAUUUUUGUUCAUAGUAUUUGCUAGCAUGUGGGGAUUUCAUAAGUUUUGAAGCUGCUGGAAGACCUUUCGCCGUGCAUUUGGCCGGAGACCCCAAAUUUUUGAGAGGGGUGCUUUGAUAGGCUUAUAGGAUUUAGUAUCUUUAAAUUUUGUGUAGUAGUCUAUCGUGUAUGUUCAGCCGCAAAGUUCUUUUGUUCGAUAAAUAAAGAUAUGAACUUCAG
RNA transcript from Fragaria vesca subsp. vesca, 2034 nucleotides. RefSeq lists it as uncharacterized. Lineage: Eukaryota; Viridiplantae; Streptophyta; Magnoliopsida; Rosales; Rosaceae. The transcript has 6 exons. The record is from RefSeq and is a predicted model, not a curated record.